RNAcentral lists this ribosomal RNA (230 nucleotides) under uncultured Alicycliphilus sp. RNAcentral describes it as "partial 16S ribosomal RNA". It matches the Rfam family "Bacterial small subunit ribosomal RNA", at positions 548 to 774 of the family's 1533-position model. The record is from RNAcentral. Lineage: Bacteria; Pseudomonadati; Pseudomonadota; Betaproteobacteria; Burkholderiales; Comamonadaceae.
AGAGAUGCAUUGGGCUUAAAGGGUGCGCAGGCGGUUUUGUAAGACAGAGGUGAAAUCCCCGGGCUCAACCUGGGAACUGCCUUUGUGACUGCAAGGCUGGAGUGCGGCAGAGGGGGAUGGAAUUCCGCGUGUAGCAGUGAAAUGCGUAGAUAUGCGGAGGAACACCGAUGGCGAAGGCAAUCCCCUGGGCCUGCACUGACGCUCAUGCACGAAAGCGUGGGGAGCAAACA